This 69-nucleotide transfer RNA is filed under the name Bujurquina mariae. RNAcentral's name for it is "tRNA-Arg". It matches the Rfam family "tRNA". From Rfam's summary of the family: Transfer RNA (tRNA) molecules are approximately 80 nucleotides in length. Lineage: Eukaryota; Metazoa; Chordata; Actinopteri; Cichliformes; Cichlidae. The record is from RNAcentral.
AGACUGUUAGUUUAAGAAAAACCUUUGAUUUCGGCUCAAAAACUUGUGGUUAAAUUCCACAGCCGUCUA